GAGAGCUUUAGUGAAGGGGCUGAUCAGGUUCUCUUUUUCAUCAAUUUUUUUCAGCUCGAUGUCACCUCGAUCCAUUAUUUCACAGACAAGAUGAUAGUGUCACAGAAUGUAUUUGAUUCUGUGGUGUGACUUGAGCUCCUUUGCUUGAGCUAUAGCUCCAGUACUAUCAUAAUAUAGUAAAACUGGACUAUCAAAAGAGGAAACCA
RNAcentral lists this long non-coding RNA (206 nucleotides) under Elaeis guineensis (African oil palm). Its description in RNAcentral is "long non-coding RNA (EGUI_LNC031944)". The record is from RNAcentral. Lineage: Eukaryota; Viridiplantae; Streptophyta; Magnoliopsida; Arecales; Arecaceae.